AUGCAAAAGAGGGGAGCUUGGACUGGGGGCGCCGGGACCCAAGCAGGGGGGCGGGGGAGGCCCGGGGACGGGCGCGCCCCUCCCCCUCCCCCCCGCCCCCCGCCCCCGCUCCCCGCUCCCCGCUCCCCGCCGCGGGUCGGGGCUCAGGACGAGGCUGCAGGCGCCCGGGAGGGAGGGGGCGCGGCGAGCCCUCUAGGUGAGGAAGGGGCGCUGGGGACCCCGCGCGGGGCGCGGCCUGGGGAUGCCGGCGGGCGCAGGGGCGGGCGGCGGGGGGCGCGGAGGGAGGAGCUUGCGUGGCGCGCCCCGAGCCGGGCUCCCGCGGGCCUCCCCGGAGCGCCCCCGGGCCGCGGCGGCUCCGAGCGCUGGGCCUCGCCCUCCGGAUGCCGCGCUCCCCGGGAGGCGCCCGCCUGCGGAGGCCCCGCGGCCCGCUCUCCGCCCAGACCCCUGCGCCCGCCGCGGAGGCCGGCAGCCGGCGGCGGGGAGGGGCUGCGGGGUCGGCGCUCCGGGCCGGCGGGUCCCGCUGCUCGGCGGGGCUCGGCGGGGCUCCGCGCGGCGGGGGGCGGGGGCGAGAGGGGAAGGGCCGCGCCGCAGGAGCCGGCCUCGCCCCCGCCCCGCCCCGCCCCGCCCCCGCCCCGCCCCCGCCCCCGCCCCCGCCCCGCGCGCGGCCGCCCGAGAGCUCGGCUGGGCUCGGCGCGGGGCCCGGCUCGCAGUCCCGCCGCGGGAGGUGGGGGUGCGGGCGGCGGCGCCCCCGGGCUCCAGGACCCACCCCCCGGGGCCCCGAGCGUCGCUCCGCCCGCCGCCCCCUCCCCCGUCCUCCCCGCCCCCCCAUCCCACCUCCCCACCCCUCGUAAGGACAUAAUGCUGCCUGGCGCCCGCACCUCCCAGUCGCUCCGGGUCCGCCGCGAGCCAGGGGCGCCCGCCGGGUCUGCGCGCCGGGACCCCCGCGCCUUCGCCUUCGCCUUGGCCUUCGCCUUUGCCUUGGCCGCCUCGGCCGCCUCGCCGCCGGGCCCCGCUUAG
RNAcentral lists this long non-coding RNA (1017 nucleotides) under Canis lupus familiaris (dog). RNAcentral's name for it is "lncRNA (ENSCAFG00030016022.1)". The record is from RNAcentral. Lineage: Eukaryota; Metazoa; Chordata; Mammalia; Carnivora; Canidae.